This is a long non-coding RNA of Fopius arisanus, 336 nucleotides long. RefSeq lists it as uncharacterized. The record is from RefSeq and is a predicted model, not a curated record. Lineage: Eukaryota; Metazoa; Arthropoda; Insecta; Hymenoptera; Braconidae. The transcript has 3 exons.
GCAUCAGGGCGUAAUAUGAAGAUCCCAAGCAGAACAUAAUACUGCAAACAUUUGCCGUUUUUUGAAGCAGCGGGGGUCUCACCAGCGCUAGGCUGCCAAGCUUCUCGCUGAGACUUUCGUAUCCGUUGUUCGACAAUGUCUCCUAGGAUUUAUCAAUGAAGGCAGUAACGAGAAGAUGAAGCAAAUAUUUAAUAUCAAUGCAUCGUAGAAACAACUUAUUUUAAAUAGGAUAAUGUCAUGAAACCCGUUUCAUUGGAAAUAUAAUCAGCUAGAAAAAAAAAUAAAAAAAAAAAAACAAAUUAUGAUUAAUGAAAAUAUUCAUUUCGACCUCUGUUC